RNAcentral lists this ribosomal RNA (293 nucleotides) under uncultured archaeon. RNAcentral describes it as "partial 16S ribosomal RNA". It matches the Rfam family "Archaeal small subunit ribosomal RNA", at positions 339 to 631 of the family's 1478-position model. The record is from RNAcentral.
GCKCGAAAACUCUACAAURCAGGCAACUGCGAUAGGGGAACAUCGAGUGAYCYYCAUAUUGGAUGUCUGUCCWCCCGCCUAAAAAGCGGGWGUUAAGCAAGGGCCGGGCAAGACCGGUGCCAGCCGCCGCGGUAAUACCGGCGGCUCGAGUGGUGGCCGAUAUUAUUGAGUCUAAAGGGUCCGUAGCCGGCUUUGCAAGUCUCUCGGGAAAUCCAGCGGCUUAACCGUUGGUCGUCCGGGGGGUACUACAUUGCUUGGGACUGGGAGAGGUAGGAGGUACUCAGGGGGUAGGA